This 468-nucleotide ribosomal RNA is filed under the name uncultured bacterium. RNAcentral's name for it is "partial 16S ribosomal RNA". It matches the Rfam family "Bacterial small subunit ribosomal RNA", at positions 28 to 507 of the family's 1533-position model. The record is from RNAcentral.
GACGAACGCUGGCGGCGUGCUUAACACAUGCAAGUCGAACGGUGAAGCUCCAGCUUGCUGGAGUGGAUCAGUGGCGAACGGGUGAGUAACACGUGAGCAACCUGCCCCUGACUCUGGAAUAAGCGCUGGAAACGGCGUCUAAUACUGGAUACGAGAAGGGUCCGCAUGGGCACUUUCUGGAAAGUUUUUCGGUUGGGGAUGGGCUCGCGGCCUAUCAGCUUGUUGGUGAGGUAAUGGCUCACCAAGGCGACGACGGGUAGCCGGCCUGAGAGGGCGACCGGCCACACUGGGACUGAGACACGGCCCAGACUCCUACGGGAGGCAGCAGUGGGGAAUAUUGCACAAUGGGCGAAAGCCUGAUGCAGCGACGCCGCGUGAGGGAUGGCGGCCUUCGGGUUGUAAACCUCUUUCAGCAGGGAAGAAGCGAAAGUGACGGUACCUGCAGAAGAAGCACCGGCUAACUACGUG